ACCACUGAUGAAGGAUUCCUCGAAAAGUUAAGGAUUACUAAUCCUUUUUUUUUAGAAAUCGAAUGGAUUCGUCUUAUACAU
RNAcentral lists this transfer RNA (81 nucleotides) under Monimopetalum chinense. Its description in RNAcentral is "tRNA-Leu". The record is from RNAcentral. Lineage: Eukaryota; Viridiplantae; Streptophyta; Magnoliopsida; Celastrales; Celastraceae.